GUCCACGCUGUAAACGAUGAAUACUAGGUGUUGGGUUUUUAACUCAGUGCCGCAGCUAACGCAUUAAGUAUUCCACCUGGGAAGUACGAUCGCAAGGUUGAAACUCAAAGGAAUUGACGGGGGCCCGCACAAGCAGUGGAGCAUGUGGUUUAAUUCGAUGCAACGCGAAGAACCUUACCUAGGCUUGAAAGGCAAGUGACAGGGUAUGAAAGUACCCCUCCAGCAAUGGCACUUGUACAGGUGCUGCAUGGCUGUCGU
This 258-nucleotide ribosomal RNA is filed under the name uncultured bacterium. Its description in RNAcentral is "partial 16S ribosomal RNA". It matches the Rfam family "Bacterial small subunit ribosomal RNA", at positions 793 to 1055 of the family's 1533-position model. The record is from RNAcentral.